Molecule: ribosomal RNA, 255 nt
Filed under: uncultured bacterium
Lineage: Bacteria
Description: partial 16S ribosomal RNA
Rfam family: Bacterial small subunit ribosomal RNA
Source: RNAcentral
UACGUAGGGUGCGAGCGUUAAUCGGAAUUACUGGGCGUAAAGAGUGCGUAGGCGGUUCGUUAAGUCAGCUGUGAAAGCCCCGGGCUCAACCUGGGAACUGCGGUUGAAACUGGCGAACUAGAAUCUGGCAGAGGGGGGUGGAAUUCCACGUGUAGCAGUGAAAUGCGUAGAGAUGUGGAGGAACACCGAUGGCGAAGGCAGCCCCCUGGGCUGAGCAUUGACGCUCGAGGCACGAAAGCGUGGGAGCAAACAGGG